AUGACAUUGGAUUUGAGCCCGGGCGUAGAACCACGUAUGGUUUGCCUCCUAGAUAAUGACCCACGGUUGGUGAACAGUCAUGAAACAAUAAUUUACUCCUAUCUUGUCAGGUCCCAUGAUCGAAUGCUCAUGGUGCGGUACCUAUUCGGUAUGAACCUUCUCCAGAAAGGUGGAUACAAUGAAGAGGAUAUAUUCAUGUGGCAGGAUUGCCCAUCCCGUAUGGAGGUGCUUGAGGUAGACCUCCCUAGGAGGAGAUUGGUGACACAACAUGGAAUUGGCAGCCGUUGUGCGGCAUUCGUUGGCGCCUCUUACAUAGUCAUGGUAUCCACUGAGAAAUUCCCUCGAAUAAUUUCCAAUGCGCUGUACCUGAACUAUUCAAUGCAAGGAGUAUUUCGUCAUUUUGCUACCUACUGCUUUGAAGAUCAGACAGCUAUAUCUGCAAGAGACUUUCAAGAUCGUCGAUUUGGCAAAAACUCUCCUUGUGCUUGCCAUUGGGAGGUUGAAGAUUAUCUUAUGUGUGAUGUUGAGAAGGGAUACCGUAUGUAA
This 546-nucleotide ribosomal RNA is filed under the name Triticum aestivum (bread wheat). RNAcentral's name for it is "partial small subunit ribosomal RNA". The record is from RNAcentral. Lineage: Eukaryota; Viridiplantae; Streptophyta; Magnoliopsida; Poales; Poaceae.